CACGCCGUAAACGAUGCUCACUGGCUGUAUGCGAUAUAUUGUAUGUGGCCAAGCGAAAGCGCUAAGUGAGCCACCUGGGGAGUACGCCGGCAACGGUGAAACUCAAAGGAAUUGACGGGGGCCCGCACAAGCGGAGGAACAUGUGGUUUAAUUCGAUGAUACGCGAGGAACCUUACCUGGGCUUAAAUGGGAGCAGACGGAUUUGGAAACAGGUCUUUCUUCGGACUGCUUUCAAGGUGC
Molecule: ribosomal RNA, 240 nt
Filed under: uncultured Meniscus sp.
Lineage: Bacteria; Pseudomonadati; Bacteroidota; Bacteroidia; Marinilabiliales; Prolixibacteraceae
Description: partial 16S ribosomal RNA
Rfam family: Bacterial small subunit ribosomal RNA
Source: RNAcentral